RNAcentral lists this ribosomal RNA (404 nucleotides) under uncultured bacterium. Its description in RNAcentral is "bacterial SSU rRNA". It matches the Rfam family "Bacterial small subunit ribosomal RNA", at positions 29 to 410 of the family's 1533-position model. The record is from RNAcentral.
AGCGAACGCUGGCGGCGUGCUUAACACAUGCAAGUCGAGCGAAGGUGUUUCAAGGGUAACCUUGAGAUACACUUAGCGGCGGACGGGUGAGUAAUACGUGGAUAACUUACCUCUAGGCCUGGGAUAACCCCGGGAAACUGGGGCUAAUACCUGAUAAGACCACAUUGUCUACGGACAAAGGGGUAAAAGGUGGCUGUGCAAACAGCUAUCGCCAAAAGAUAGGUUCACGUCCCAUCAGGCAGUUGGUGAGGUAAUGGCUCACCAAACCAAAGACGGGUAGCCGGCCUUGGCGGGUGAACGGCCACACGGGGACUGAGACACGGCCCCGACUCCUACGGGAGGCAGCAGUGGGGAAUAUUGGGCAAUGGGCGCAAGCCUGACCCAGCGACGUCGCGUUGGGGAAG